GAGUUGAUCCGGCUCAGAGUGAACGCUGGCGGCGUGCUUAACACAUGCAAGUCGAACGAGAACGGUCCUAGCUUGCUAGGAUGUCAGCUAAGUGGCGGACGGGUGAGUAAUGUAUAGUUAAUCUGCCCUUUAGAGAGGAAUAACUACUGGAAACGGUAGCUAAUACCUCAUACUCCUUCUUUAUUAAUUAAAGUUGGGAAAUGUUUUUUCGCUAAAGGAUGAGACUAUAUGGUAUCAGGUAGUUGGUGGGGUAAGAGCCUACCAAGCCAAUGACGCCUAGCUGGUCUGAGAGGAUGAUCAGCCACACUGGAACUGAGACACGGUCCAGACUCCUACGGGAGGCAGCAGUGGGGAAUAUUGCACAAUGGAGGAAACUCUGAUGCAGCAACGCCGCGUGGAGGAUGACACAUUUCGGUGCGN
This 420-nucleotide ribosomal RNA is filed under the name uncultured prokaryote. Its description in RNAcentral is "bacterial SSU rRNA". It matches the Rfam family "Bacterial small subunit ribosomal RNA", at positions 9 to 426 of the family's 1533-position model. The record is from RNAcentral.